Molecule: ribosomal RNA, 505 nt
Filed under: uncultured cyanobacterium
Lineage: Bacteria; Bacillati; Cyanobacteriota
Description: bacterial SSU rRNA
Rfam family: Bacterial small subunit ribosomal RNA
Source: RNAcentral
GAGAGAUCGUACUUCUCUAGCAAUAGAGCUUUCCACACAGGUGCUGCAUGGCUGUCGUCAGCUCGUGUCGUGAGAUGUUGGGUUAAGUCCCGCAACGAGCGCAACCCUCGUUUCUAGUUGCCAUCAUUAAGUUGGGCCCUCUAGAGAGACUGCCGCGAAUAACGCGGAGGAAGGUGGGGACGACGUCAAGUCAUCAUGGCCCUUACGUCUUGGGCUACACACGUGCUACAAUGGACGUUACAAAGGGCUGCAAGAGCGCAAGCUGGAGCCAAUCCCUAAAAGCGUCCUCAGUUCAGAUUGAGGUCUGCAACUCGACCUCAUGAAGGUGGAAUCGCUAGUAAUCGUGGAUCAGAACGCCACGGUGAAUACGUUCCCGGGCCUUGUACACACCGCCCGUCAAGCCACGAAAGGAGAGAGCGCUCAAAGUCGCUAAGGUAACCCGCAAGGGAGCCCAGCGCCUAAAGCGAGAUCUCUAAUUGGGGCUAAGUCGUAACAAGGUAGCCGU